This 540-nucleotide ribosomal RNA is filed under the name uncultured fungus. RNAcentral describes it as "eukaryotic LSU rRNA". The stretch from base 182 to 335 matches the Rfam family "5.8S ribosomal RNA". Lineage: Eukaryota; Fungi. The record is from RNAcentral.
CGUAACAAGGUUUCCGUAGGUGAACCUGCGGAAGGAUCAUUACCUAGAGUUGUAGGCUUUGCCUGCUAUCUCUUACCCAUGUCUUUUGAGUACCUUCGUUUCCUCGGCGGGUCCGCCCGCCGAUUGGACAAUUUAAACCAUUUGCAGUUGCAAUCAGCGUCUGAAAAAACUUAAUAGUCACAACUUUCAACAACGGAUCUCUUGGUUCUGGCAUCGAUGAAGAACGCAGCGAAAUGCGAUAAGUAGUGUGAAUUGCAGAAUUCAGUGAAUCAUCGAAUCUUUGAACGCACAUUGCGCCCCUUGGUAUUCCAUGGGGCAUGCCUGUUCGAGCGUCAUUUGUACCUUCAAGCUCUGCUUGGUGUUGGGUGUUUGUCUCGCCUCUGCGCGCAGACUCGCCUCAAAACAAUUGGCAGCCGGCGUAUUGAUUUCGGAGCGCAGUACAUCUCGCGCUUUGCACUCAUAACGACGACGUCCAAAAGUACAUUUUUACACUCUUGACCUCGGAUCAGGUAGGGAUACCCGCUGAACUUAAGCAUAUCA